AUUUUGUCAUAAAUUAACCAAAUUAUUGAGUGAGAUGCUACUUAGAACUUAUAGAGAAAAUCGUUCCCUUUUAUUCUCUUUCAUUCGUAUCAAUUGAUUCUUAUAAUUGUUGUCAUAUUACAUAUUGAGGUUUCAUCUCUCAUUAUCAUCGUAUCAAAACUGAUUUUAGAUACAACACUAUCUCAAUCUUUCUCCUACAAUCACUUCAAUUACGAAUAAAUAAAAGGCCAAUCAACCUUGUUAGAUUUAAGUCACCAUGAUGACAUGGUAGUAGCAAGAACGCACAAAAAGAAAAAGUUUGAUUCAAUAACCUAACACAUAAUCAUUUGGAACUAUAGUUCAAUUACUUCACAUAAUCAAACUUUUAAAAUCAUGCUCUCUCUCUCUCUAAAAAAAAAAAUACUUUUAGAAUCAUUCAUUAAAUAACAUUUUUAUCAUCUCCGCAUAUUUUAACUAUUUACUUAUCUAGAUCCUUGAUAAUUUUAUUACCAUAUCAUGACAACAUUGCAC
RNAcentral lists this long non-coding RNA (510 nucleotides) under Phoenix dactylifera (date palm). Its description in RNAcentral is "long non-coding RNA (PDAC_LNC004409)". Lineage: Eukaryota; Viridiplantae; Streptophyta; Magnoliopsida; Arecales; Arecaceae. The record is from RNAcentral.